RNAcentral lists this ribosomal RNA (640 nucleotides) under uncultured Mycobacterium sp. RNAcentral's name for it is "bacterial SSU rRNA". It matches the Rfam family "Bacterial small subunit ribosomal RNA", at positions 235 to 885 of the family's 1533-position model. The record is from RNAcentral. Lineage: Bacteria; Bacillati; Actinomycetota; Actinomycetes; Mycobacteriales; Mycobacteriaceae.
GGCCUAUCAGCUUGUUGGUGGGGUAAUGGCCUACCAAGGCGACGACGGGUAGCCGGCCUGAGAGGGUGACCGGCCACACUGGGACUGAGAUACGGCCCAGACUCCUACGGGAGGCAGCAGUGGGGAAUAUUGCACAAUGGGCGCAAGCCUGAUGCAGCGACGCCGCGUGAGGGAUGACGGCCUUCGGGUUGUAAACCUCUUUCAAUAGGGACGAAGCGUGAGUGACGGUACCUAUAGAAGAAGCACCGGCCAACUACGUGCCAGCAGCCGCGGUAAUACGUAGGGUGCGAGCGUUGUCCGGAAUUACUGGGCGUAAAGAGCUCGUAGGUGGUUUGUCGCGUUGUCCGUGAAAACUCACAGCUUAACUGUGGGCGUGCGGGCGAUACGGGCAGACUAGAGUACUGCAGGGGAGACUGGAAUUCCUGGUGUAGCGGUGGAAUGCGCAGAUAUCAGGAGGAACACCGAUGGCGAAGGCAGGUCUCUGGGCCACCACUGACGCUGAGAAGCGAAAGCGUGGGGAGCGAACAGGAUUAGAUACCCUGGUAGUCCACGCCGUAAACGGUGGGCGCUAGGUGUGGGACUCAUUCCACGAGUUCUGUGCCGCAGCUAACGCAUUAAGCGCCCCGCCUGGGGAGUACGG